Molecule: ribosomal RNA, 253 nt
Filed under: uncultured bacterium
Lineage: Bacteria
Description: partial 16S ribosomal RNA
Rfam family: Bacterial small subunit ribosomal RNA
Source: RNAcentral
UACGUAGGUGGCAAGCGUUGUCCGGAUUUACUGGGCGUAAAGGGCGCGCAGGCGGUCGUUCAAGUCGAGUGUGAAAGCCCCCGGCUCAACUGGGGAGGGUCACUCGAUACUGAUCGACUCGAAGGCAGAAGAGGGAAGCGGAAUUCCCGGUGUAGUGGUGAAAUGCGUAGAUAUCGGGAGGAACACCAGUGGCGAAGGCGGCUUUCUGGUCUGCUCUUGACGCUGAGGCGCGAAAGCUAGGGUAGCAAACGGG